Neltuma alba is the source of this 1307-nucleotide RNA transcript. RefSeq lists it as uncharacterized. Lineage: Eukaryota; Viridiplantae; Streptophyta; Magnoliopsida; Fabales; Fabaceae. The transcript is spliced from 9 exons. The record is from RefSeq and is a predicted model, not a curated record.
CAUUUGAUCUGGUGAGGGGGGCGCGAACGACUACUCGACGCUCGUGCUACGUUAUUCUGUUUGGGGUCUAAAAUUGUUCUUUAUGGUUUGUUUCUAUACUUAUUGUCGCUGAUUUAAGAGUCUCUUCAGUUCCUGAUUCUGAGUUCAUGGAGAAGAAUACUGAGCUCGCUGGCAGUGCAUCAUCUUCUGCUGGAAUAGGAUCCAGGUACUUUGAUUUGAAAAAGUCCUUCAAGUUCGCUAUGCGUUCUUUGCUCACUGCCUGCUCAAAGGAGGAAUUUGACAAAGCUUUUCUGAGAUUCACAACCGCGGAAAAAGAAUGGCUUCAUCGCCUCUAUCUUCAGGUCAUCACUUCAUUGCAUGAAAAUAUAGAGGCUGAGUUUGAGUCAAUCUGUCUUGAAACGCAGGUGGGGGCCACUCUUGAUGCUGUAGAGGAAAUGGUGGAAGAGCAAGAGCUGGAUCCUUUGUUCUCAAAUAAUUGCAGGAGUAAUGUCAUGGAUGUGGUUGAGGAUCUGUCCACUGCGAAUAAGAAUGAAAUCCAGCAGUUGACGCGUAUUAUAAAAUUGGGAGAGGAACAUAAUAGUAGGAUUCGCACACAGUUGCAACUCCUCAGAGAAGGCAGACAAGCAAUGUCUGGUGUAUCAGAUGCUAUUGAGAAGCAGUUCAGGAGCAGGAAUUUAACUUAUGGAGCCAACCGAUGCGAAGAGAUUCAAGAUAUGUAAAACCUCCUUAGUACAUCUUCUGUUAUAUUUACCGAAGUUCUUCUUCUGGGUAUCAUUUGCCUAUGCAUUCAUGUAUAUUGUUCCAAAGCUUCUAAAGGCGUUAGUCUUGGAAUGUCAAAUAUUAGCAGAGAAAUCCCUUGUUAGCGGUAUCAUUAUUAGGGUCCAGUGCUAUGAGUGGUUCGUAUUGUAACGAAAAGCAGAGAAUCUUUCUGUUAAUCAUAGUGUCGCUGAGUAUUGCCUUUGUGGACCUCAACGCGCGUGACAUUGAACAGGGAAACGUGUCGAAUCUGACACAUGCCGAAUAUUGCCCACUCUGGUUCAACAGUGCGUAAUAGCAAUGGCAAGAAUGAGGCCAAGUCAAUCGAUAGCUCAAUCUUCAUGACAUUCCUCUUUAACUGCAACAUUAAUAUGUGGUAAAUCAUGGCAGGAUGGGAACCUGAAGUUCAGUGUGGUAUCUUAGAGGUUUCCUCUUCCUCUUUUUACACUGAUUACUAGGUCUGUCAUUAUUACUCAAUGUUUUCUUGUUUUUAUUGCUUUUCCAAGAUGAAAAUUUAAGUCCAGUUUUAUGGAAUUCAUUUAGAAAUAAAA